This is a long non-coding RNA of Mauremys reevesii (Reeves's turtle), 561 nucleotides long. RefSeq lists it as uncharacterized. NCBI's taxonomy places the organism in Eukaryota, Metazoa, Chordata, Testudines, Geoemydidae. The record is from RefSeq and is a predicted model, not a curated record. The transcript is spliced from 3 exons.
UUCACGCAAGAACAAUUUAGUGCCUUUGUUUAGUAUAGUUUUACUUUUAGUGUAGUUUUCAUUAUUAGUUUUAGUGGUAAACUUAUGUAAGGAAAAAAGGUUUUACUCUUAGCAUAGAUAGUAGAUAUGUCUUCAAUUCUCACUACUGGUUCUGUGUCGGAUUGAUUUUAAAACCCGCAGCAGUGAGUCUCAGUGCCCCGGUCUACAGACUUGAGCUCACAGCACUAAAAACAGCUGUGUACACGCUCAGGCUCUGAAGCGGGUUUCAGAGUCCGAGCUCCAGUCCAAGCCGCAGUGUCUACACUGCUGGUUUUAGUGCUGUAGUGCCAGCCCAGGCUCUUAUACUCGCUGCUCUGUUUUUUAAAAUGCAGUGUAGACAUAACCUAAGAGACCUGGCUUCAAAAGGGUCAAGUAAUAGAGAACUAGUAUCACUUCAUUAGGGAGCACAGGGCCCAAGAGCAAGAAUCCUUUGGGAUCAGAUCUUCAAAGAAGCAGACUAACAGAUGCAGCCUGUCCAGAACGACAUCACCCUGAGGCGGGUCACUCGGAGUCAGAGAGAGC